This 173-nucleotide non-coding RNA is filed under the name Streptomyces chattanoogensis. RNAcentral describes it as "Streptomyces RNA 1601". It matches the Rfam family "Streptomyces RNA 1601". From Rfam's summary of the family: Identified by deep sequencing of transcriptome at the end of exponential growth phase. Lineage: Bacteria; Bacillati; Actinomycetota; Actinomycetes; Kitasatosporales; Streptomycetaceae. The record is from Rfam by way of RNAcentral.
GACGACCGGCCGGACACCCAGGUGACCGGCCCACAAGUGGAGGCUCCGAUCUCCCACCCGAACCGACCUCAGGUCGGCGGGUCAAUGGUCCGGCUGCGCCCCGCGGAGAUUUCGCGGCGGUGCUCCUGGUUCAGUUCCGGAGCCCCGCCUGUGUCCCGUCCGGGGCGUUUUGC